RNAcentral lists this long non-coding RNA (282 nucleotides) under Mytilus galloprovincialis (Mediterranean mussel). Lineage: Eukaryota; Metazoa; Mollusca; Bivalvia; Mytilida; Mytilidae. The record is from RNAcentral.
CGUUAUUUAACUCGCCAGUCAUGUUACGGUACAUUAUUCAUAAAUCUUCGAACUUUUCAUCAUGUAUAUUAUAACUAUCAUGAUUAAAUAACCAGUAAAUUUAAUGUUUUUGUACAUAAAAUUUUGCAGCUAAAUCGCUGAAAACCGUUUUCCGUCGGGGGGCCGAAGCCCCACUGAACCCCCUAACAGGGCUCUGCCCUGAACCAGAUAGGGGCCUUGAGCGGCCCCCAGACCCCCUGCCGGUUGGUGCCUACAGUUGACUGAAUACCUAGCUACGCCCCU